GGGGUUGUGGCUCAGAGGUAGAGCCCUUGCCUAGCAUGCAGGAGGCACUAGGUUUGAUCCUCAGCACCA
RNAcentral lists this transfer RNA (69 nucleotides) under Marmota monax (woodchuck). It matches the Rfam family "tRNA". Rfam says of the family: Transfer RNA (tRNA) molecules are approximately 80 nucleotides in length. Lineage: Eukaryota; Metazoa; Chordata; Mammalia; Rodentia; Sciuridae. The record is from Rfam by way of RNAcentral.